UGUGAGCCGCCCGAGUCCCUCUGGGAGAUGGUGGUGGGAUAUAAAUAAAGUUUUAUUAUUUAUUAUUAUUUACAGCUAAAUUAGCAGGCAGAAAAUCCUUGGUUCAACUUGAAUAAGGAAAGAGUGUGAUUGCAGCUGCAUGAUUGAAAACCCACAAAGCAAAGGGCUUUCAUCAUAAGGGAAGAAAGCUUACCUUUAAAUUAAUCCCAGAUGUCUCCUGAGGAAUAUGUGUAACAACCAAGUAGCAACACUAAGAACAGACCACGGAACAACAGACUGGUUCAGGAUUGGGAAAGAAGAAAAGCAGGGCUGUAUACUCUCACCCUACCUAUUCAACUUGUAAAAAGAACACAUCAUGUGAUAUGCAGGGCUCAAUAAAUUCCAAGGCUGGAUUUAAAAUUGCUGGAAGAAACAUUAACACACUUAGAUAUGCAGAUAAUACCACUUCAAUAGCUGAAAGUGAGGAGGAGCUGAGGAAAGCGUUUAUCAUGCUUUCCAACAAUUUAUGUGAUUUGUAGUUUAUCAACUUCCCGUGUUUCUUAAAAUCAUCUCUACUAAACAUUUUAGAAUCUUAGAAUCUAAUAAUUAUUGAAUCUGAUAUGUUUAUUCUAUAGGAAGGACCACCAUGUCUGCAUAUUUGUUAACACAUAUAAAUAUUUCUGGAUGUGAUGCUAGUGACUAGACUACUAAACCAUUACUUUUGAUCUAUUUCAGGAAUGUUUAAGUGAAUACUUAGACCCAAUGAUGUUCCUGAUUGCAAGUUAUUAAUUCACACCAUGCCGAAAAAUGUCUCAGGCUGAAGCAAGUAACUGAGAAGGAGGAGGAGGAGCAAAAGUUCAAAAGACAUCAAGGCAAGAGAAGUUACAGUGCUGUUCCCGUGAAGGACAACAAAAGUUGAAAGUAGAUCACAGUGUACAGUAAAUUGAAGAAAUUGUUAUCAAGUUUCUGCAGCAUGUCUGGUUCUUCUUGGUUACUUCUGUUGUUGAGAACAGAAGGUAGCAUCUCAACUGGAAAAGUACCAGGACGGUUGGACCUCAAAAAUACGGUAGAUUGCUUACAGCAUGUCAAAUGAUCAACUUACUUGCACUGGCUGUUUUCGCUGGAGGAUUCUGGGGGUUUUAAUCCUAAAAUAACUUUUGCAUGCUCUGGUUUCCUUUAAAGAUCUAUUCUUUCAGUUUUGAAAUCCUUUAGCAAGUCUACUUUUGUAAAAUGAACACUUCAGCUUAGAUGAUUCUCUGCAUGUGGGUAUUAGCACUUGGGUACAAUGUGGAAAAUGAAGAUAAUUACAUUUUAAGUCAGUAGGAGCCAGCGUAAUAAAAUAGCAACAAGUAACAGAAGAAAAGCAUGUUAAUUAUUCUACUGUAUAAAGGCAAAAGGCAUAUAUUUAGAUAAAUGGCAAUUGUUCGAGCCACAGAAGCAGAUCAAAACCAACAUAUUAUUUACUUGGCUCUGCAUAAGAAAGAAGGCUAAAGAAUAUUCUUCUAUGUGCCUUUAAGGAAUACAUAAUAGAGGGUUUCAUUCAUGAGAGUUAAGUGUGUUAUUAAUGCAAAUAAUAAUUAGGCUCUGCUGUAGCAGCUCCGUUCUAAAGAAUAUAAUAGAAACUUCUGCAGUUAGAAUUCUCUAGAGGAUAAAUUUGUAAUACAUAAAGGGCAGAUAGGUGUGCCAAGAAUUCUCUGUAAUGCAUAUUUUAAUAACCACAAAUGCAUACUUGAGAACUAUA
Long non-coding RNA from Anolis carolinensis (green anole), 1720 nucleotides. RefSeq lists it as uncharacterized. The record is from RefSeq and is a predicted model, not a curated record. The transcript is spliced from 2 exons. NCBI's taxonomy places the organism in Eukaryota, Metazoa, Chordata, Lepidosauria, Squamata, Anolidae.